RNAcentral lists this ribosomal RNA (497 nucleotides) under uncultured bacterium. RNAcentral describes it as "partial 16S ribosomal RNA". It matches the Rfam family "Bacterial small subunit ribosomal RNA", at positions 28 to 507 of the family's 1533-position model. The record is from RNAcentral.
GAUGAACGCUGGCGGCGUGCCUAAUACAUGCAAGUCGAGCGAACAGACGAGGAGCUUGCUCCUCUGACGUUAGCGGCGGACGGGUGAGUAACACGUGGAUAACCUACCUAUAAGACUGGGAUAACUUCGGGAAACCGGAGCUAAUACCGGAUAAUAUAUUGAACCGCAUGGUUCAAUAGUGAAAGACGGUUUUGCUGUCACUUAUAGAUGGAUCCGCGCCGCAUUAGCUAGUUGGUAGGGUAACGGCUUACCAAGGCGACGAUGCGUAGCCGACCUGAGAGGGUGAUCGGCGACCCUGGAACUGAGACACGGUCCAGACUCCUACGGGAGGCAGCAGUAGGGAAUCUUCCGCAGUGGGCGAAAGCCUGACGGAGCAACGGCGCGCGAGUGAUGAAGGUCUUCGGAUCGUAAAACUCUGUUAUUAGGGAAGAACAAAUGUGUAAGUAACUAUGCACGUCUUGACGGUACCUAGUCAGAAAGCCACGGCUAACUACGUG